GGGGUCGUUGUCUAGCUUGGUUUAGGAUGCCAGCCUGGGGCGCUGGAGCUCGUGGGUUCAAAUCCCACCGACCCCA
RNAcentral lists this transfer RNA (76 nucleotides) under Thermoproteota archaeon. Its description in RNAcentral is "tRNA-Pro". It matches the Rfam family "tRNA". From Rfam's summary of the family: Transfer RNA (tRNA) molecules are approximately 80 nucleotides in length. Their secondary structure includes four short double-helical elements and three loops (D, anti-codon, and T loops). Lineage: Archaea; Thermoproteati; Thermoproteota. The record is from RNAcentral.